ACUAAGCGUACACGGUGGAUGCCCUGGCAGUCAGAGGCGAUGAAGGACGUGCUAAUCUGCGAUAAGCGUCGGUAAGGUGAUAUGAACCGUUAUAACCGGCGAUUUCCGAAUGGGGAAACCCAGUGUGAUUCGUCACACUAUCAUUAACUGAAUCCAUAGGUUAAUGAGGCGAACCGGGGGAACUGAAACAUCUAAGUACCCCGAGGAAAAGAAAUCAACCGAGAUUCCCCCAGUAGCGGCGAGCGAACGGGGAGGAGCCCAGAGCCUGAAUCAGUGUGUGUGUUAGUGGAAGCGUCUGGAAAGGCGCGCGAUACAGGGUGACAGCCCCGUACACAAAAAUGCACAUGCUGUGAGCUCGAUGAGUAGGGCGGGACACGUGGUAUCCUGUCUGAAUAUGGGGGGACCAUCCUCCAAGGCUAAAUACUCCUGACUGACCGAUAGUGAACCAGUACCGUGAGGGAAAGGCGAAAAGAACCCCGGCGAGGGGAGUGAAAAAGAACCUGAAACCGUGUACGUACAAGCAGUGGGAGCACAGAGCAAUCUGUGUGACUGCGUACCUUUUGUAUAAUGGGUCAGCGACUUAUAUUCUGUAGCAAGGUUAACCGAAUAGGGGAGCCGAAGGGAAACCGAGUCUUAACUGGGCGUUAAGUUGCAGGGUAUAGACCCGAAACCCGGUGAUCUAGCCAUGGGCAGGUUGAAGGUUGGGUAACACUAACUGGAGGACCGAACCGACUAAUGUUGAAAAAUUAGCGGAUGACUUGUGGCUGGGGGUGAAAGGCCAAUCAAACCGGGAGAUAGCUGGUUCUCCCCGAAAGCUAUUUAGGUAGCGCCUCGUGAAUUCAUCUCCGGGGGUAGAGCACUGUUUCGGCAAGGGGGUCAUCCCGACUUACCAACCCGAUGCAAACUGCGAAUACCGGAGAAUGUUAUCACGGGAGACACACGGCGGGUGCUAACGUCCGUCGUGAAGAGGGAAACAACCCAGACCGCCAGCUAAGGUCCCAAAGUCAUGGUUAAGUGGGAAACGAUGUGGGAAGGCCCAGACAGCCAGGAUGUUGGCUUAGAAGCAGCCAUCAUUUAAAGAAAGCGUAAUAGCUCACUGGUCGAGUCGGCCUGCGCGGAAGAUGUAACGGGGCUAAACCAUGCACCGAAGCUGCGGCAGCGACGCUUAUGCGUUGUUGGGUAGGGGAGCGUUCUGUAAGCCUGNNNNNNNNNNNNNNNNNNNNNGCUGGAGGUAUCAGAAGUGCGAAUGCUGACAUAAGUAACGAUAAAGCGGGUGAAAAGCCCGCUCGCCGGAAGACCAAGGGUUCCUGUCCAACGUUAAUCGGGGCAGGGUGAGUCGACCCCUAAGGCGAGGCCGAAAGGCGUAGUCGAUGGGAAACAGGUUAAUAUUCCUGUACUUGGUGUUACUGCGAAGGGGGGACGGAGAAGGCUAUGUUGGCCGGGCGACGGUUGUCCCGGUUUAAGCGUGUAGGCUGGUUUUCCAGGCAAAUCCGGAAAAUCAAGGCUGAGGCGUGAUGACGAGGCACUACGGUGCUGAAGCAACAAAUGCCCUGCUUCCAGGAAAAGCCUCUAAGCAUCAGGUAACAUCAAAUCGUACCCCAAACCGACACAGGUGGUCAGGUAGAGAAUACCAAGGCGCUUGAGAGAACUCGGGUGAAGGAACUAGGCAAAAUGGUGCCGUAACUUCGGGAGAAGGCACGCUGAUAUGUAGGUGAAGUCCCUCGCGGAUGGAGCUGAAAUCAGUCGAAGAUACCAGCUGGCUGCAACUGUUUAUUAAAAACACAGCACUGUGCAAACACGAAAGUGGACGUAUACGGUGUGACGCCUGCCCGGUGCCGGAAGGUUAAUUGAUGGGGUCAGCGCAAGCGAAGCUCUUGAUCGAAGCCCCGGUAAACGGCGGCCGUAACUAUAACGGUCCUAAGGUAGCGAAAUUCCUUGUCGGGUAAGUUCCGACCUGCACGAAUGGCGUAAUGAUGGCCAGGCUGUCUCCACCCGAGACUCAGUGAAAUUGAACUCGCUGUGAAGAUGCAGUGUACCCGCGGCAAGACGGAAAGACCCCGUGAACCUUUACUAUAGCUUGACACUGAACAUUGAGCCUUGAUGUGUAGGAUAGGUGGGAGGCUUUGAAGUGUGGACGCCAGUCUGCAUGGAGCCGACCUUGAAAUACCACCCUUUAAUGUUUGAUGUUCUAACGUUGACCCGUGAUCCGGGUUGCGGACAGUGUCUGGUGGGUAGUUUGACUGGGGCGGUCUCCUCCUAAAGAGUAACGGAGGAGCACGAAGGUUGGCUAAUCCUGGUCGGACAUCAGGAGGUUAGUGCAAUGGCAUAAGCCAGCUUGACUGCGAGCGUGACGGCGCGAGCAGGUGCGAAAGCAGGUCAUAGUGAUCCGGUGGUUCUGAAUGGAAGGGCCAUCGCUCAACGGAUAAAAGGUACUCCGGGGAUAACAGGCUGAUACCGCCCAAGAGUUCAUAUCGACGGCGGUGUUUGGCACCUCGAUGUCGGCUCAUCACAUCCUGGGGCUGAAGUAGGUCCCAAGGGUAUGGCUGUUCGCCAUUUAAAGUGGUACGCGAGCUGGGUUUAGAACGUCGUGAGACAGUUCGGUCCCUAUCUGCCGUGGGCGCUGGAGAACUGAGGGGGGCUGCUCCUAGUACGAGAGGACCGGAGUGGACGCAUCACUGGUGUUCGGGUUGUCAUGCCAAUGGCACUGCCCGGUAGCUAAAUGCGGAAGAGAUAAGUGCUGAAAGCAUCUAAGCACGAAACUUGCCCCGAGAUGAGUUCUCCCUGACUCCUUGAGAGUCCUGAAGGAACGUUGAAGACGACGACGUUGAUAGGCCGGGUGUGUAAGCGCAGCGAUGCGUUGAGCUAACCGGUACUAAUGAACCGUGAGGCUUAACC
This 2895-nucleotide ribosomal RNA is filed under the name Escherichia coli. Its description in RNAcentral is "bacterial LSU rRNA". It matches the Rfam family "Bacterial large subunit ribosomal RNA". The record is from RNAcentral. Lineage: Bacteria; Pseudomonadati; Pseudomonadota; Gammaproteobacteria; Enterobacterales; Enterobacteriaceae.